RNAcentral lists this long non-coding RNA (2466 nucleotides) under Phaseolus vulgaris (common bean). RNAcentral describes it as "long non-coding RNA (PVUL_LNC003863)". The record is from RNAcentral. Lineage: Eukaryota; Viridiplantae; Streptophyta; Magnoliopsida; Fabales; Fabaceae.
CAAGAUCCAUAACUUCUUGGAUUCUAUAAUUAAAAGAAAUGACAAAUCAAGCAAUAGUCUACACAGAACAAGCAAACCAAAUUUUUAAGGCCAUACAAUGAUUCCAAACAGCAGCAAAACAACAAGACCAGUGGGCUGGCGACGACGGUGGCAAGGGGACAAAGGCAGACCGAAUCAAGGAGGCAAAGGAAAUGUAUGGAGUGUGCCAAGAGACAGAGGAAAUUAGAUUAUUUUUGCCCAUUCAACAAUGGCCAUUUUGGACUUUUAUACACAUUGAGGUGAAGAAAUAUUAUACACCUAUACAACCAAACUUUAAUGUAUAUUUAUCCGAUCAAUACAACAACAGACAAUUCUUAGAUGUAUGUAUGUCAAAAUAAUUUUUCUUUUCAAUAUCUCAUUUUUUCCGCCUUUUUUAUUUCCCUUUUCUUUUUCUUUUACAUAUGUAAUAGUUUCCUCUUUAAGGACCUUUUUCUAAUUUCAAAAAAGAGAAUUUUUUCAGUAUUCAAUAUUGUCAAUCAUGUUUUAAAAUGGUACCAUCAAAAUUAUAAUUCAACUUAGAAAACGUUGGUAGCAAGAAAAUAGGCCCAAAUAGGACAGACCAGGGAAAUUUUCAAAACAAAGUUUAAGGUUAGAAAGAAUUUCUAAAUUGUCCUUAAUCAUUUCCGAGCAAGAAUCUAAAAUAUAAAUUCGCCUUGAAAGGAAUAUAACGUAAGUUCCAGGAGAUGUAGAUUAGAAAAACAAUCAUACAUGAAAAAAAGGGAAAUAUAAGCGAAACCAACUAAUAGGUCCAAAUCUAUAGGGUUGUUUUACAUACCAAACUUUUUCAGAAAUUUCUUGCAAUAUAUAGAUCCGUUAAUAAAGCUUUUUUUCUUCCAAUUUCUUAGUUUGUACCCCAAAAAGAAGAAUAUAAAUUAUUUUAUUAUUUACAUUUCAAACUCAUUUAGCUCUAAAAUAAUAUCAUCAAUAUUUAUUUAAACAAGAAAAAAUAAUAUUAAACCCUUCUUAAUUUAUUUAUUUUUCAUUUUAAAUAGAUUAAUAAUUAUCGUGUUAUUUUAAUGGAUUCUCAGACUUUAUUACUAUUACUGUUAUUGUUAUAAUUAUUAUUAUUAUUUAACUGAGUGCUGUUUGAGAAAAAAUCUUAAUAAUUACAAUAAAAUUAUUGUUCUGUGUGUCUAUUUUAGAAAAAUAAAGUUUAAGGAUCAAUUGAAAUAAAAUUAAAGUUUAAGGUGUAUAUUUAUAAAAUAUAAAAUGAGUAAAGUUUAAGGGUUAGAUGCUCUUUUCCUUUUUAAACCAUUAACAAGAGCUUUACCUUUUUUAUGAGAAGAAUAUUAUAAAAUUAAUCCAUUUCAAAACCCUUUUAAAUAAAAACUGACUCAACCUACCAAACAAAGUUCAAAGAGUUUGCUCUUGACAAUAGAAUGUCUUUUUUUUAGUUUCAUGAAAUGGUCAGAAAUUCAAAAUUUUCAAAAUCAUUUCUUGAAUGAAUAUAUUUAAAGCCAUUUGUCUCAUCCAAUUGAUACAUAUCUUGGGAGGAGAUUAUUUUAUAAGAAUAAGAACAGGAAUCAUAAAAUCAUCCACAAAUAAUCAAAAUUUUGAAGUUACAGUGUAAAACAUAAAAAAAAAAAAACAUAAGAUGAGGUGUUAUUGUGUUUAAGAUAAUUUUUGAAAAUCUUCUUGAAAGAUUAUAUAUUGUGUUGAAUUGAUUGUGAUAUCCAAGGAGGAGAUGAAUUGAAUCACAAAAAUCAAAUUAAGAAAAAGAUUUGAAGGGCAACAGAGACUGAAAAAAAAAUAUGAAAUGAUCACAAUGAAAGUAUGCAUAUAUUCUAGAAAGACUUUCAAUCUAACGAUUUCAAGGUUUGAAUCCUGGAAUCAUGUAUUCAAGUAAGACUUUACUUAACAACAAUGUGUUUACCUAAGGAUUAAUUUUGGAGUUUUGGCUAUGAGCCAUUUGAUUCCAAAUCUAUAAAUUAGGCUUUAGAAUACUAGGAUUGUGAGCUUAAAGAAAACGGAAGGGAAAAGUUUCUACAUGCAACAAAUACUUGAAAGGCGUAAUCAACAUUUAGGUAUUGGGUAUAACUACGUUUACCUUCCAAUAUUCGUUGAAUGAUGAAUUAAUAGGGCUUUUUAUCAUGGAAUCAAAGAGCUCUGUUUCUGAGAUAUAAUUGAUCAAUAAACAGAGGCCAGAUCGAAGUAUGACUAAGGAAAGAGACCUUCCUUCACAAUCCAAGGAAUAUAAUUACAAAUCUUUUAGGAGAAUAGAAGAUAAAGCAAGAAGAAGUAACCUUCGGUGUGAAGGCGGAGAUGCUUCAGAUGUUGGUGCUAAGAGCGACGGCGGUUCUAAGAGCUACGGUGCGACGGUUGCGCUGGUCCUCAGCCUUACGACGGUGGGCCUGAUGCUAGGGAGCGAUGGCAGUUUGACGUGUGAUGGGUUAAGAGCCUAAGAAGGUGAAACGGAGCGAGAGAAAG